UACGGGGGGGGCAAGCGUUGUUCGGAAUUACUGGGCGUAAAGGGCUCGUAGGUGGCCAACUAAGUCAGACGUGAAAUCCCUCGGCUUAACCGGGGAACUGCGUCUGAUACUGGAUGGCUUGAGUUUGGGAGAGGGACGCGGAAUUCCAGGUGUAGCGGUGAAAUGCGUAGAUAUCUGGAGGAACACCGGUGGCGAAGGCGGCAUCCUGGACCAAUACUGACGCUGAGGAGCGAAAGCCAGGGGAGCAAACGGG
This 253-nucleotide ribosomal RNA is filed under the name uncultured bacterium. RNAcentral describes it as "partial 16S ribosomal RNA". It matches the Rfam family "Bacterial small subunit ribosomal RNA", at positions 524 to 776 of the family's 1533-position model. The record is from RNAcentral.